Molecule: ribosomal RNA, 442 nt
Filed under: uncultured bacterium
Lineage: Bacteria
Description: partial 16S ribosomal RNA
Rfam family: Bacterial small subunit ribosomal RNA
Source: RNAcentral
CCUACGGGGGGCAGCAGUGGGGAAUAUUGGGCAAUGGGCGCAAGCCUGACCCAGCAACGCCGCGUGAAGGAAGAAGGCUCUCGGGUUGUAAACUUCUUUUAAGAGGGAAGAGCAGAAGACGGUACCUCUUGAAUAAGCUACGGCUAACUACGUGCCAGCAGCCGCGGUAAUACGUAGGUGGCAAGCGUUGUCCGGAUUUACUGGGUGUAAAGGGCGUGCAGCCGGGAAGACAAGUCAGAUGUGAAAUCCCGCGGCUCAACCGCGGAACUGCAUUUGAAACUGUUUUUCUUGAGUACCGGAGAGGUCGUCGGAAUUCGUUGUGUAGCGGUGAAAUGCGUAGAUAUAAGGAAGAACACCGAUGGCGAAGGCAGAUGACUGGACGGCAACUGACGGUGAGGCGCGAAAGCGUGGGGAGCAAACAGGAUUAGAUACCCUAGUAGUC